Molecule: ribosomal RNA, 407 nt
Filed under: bacterium enrichment culture clone ALO1_GLFRUDD03G3N41
Lineage: Bacteria
Description: bacterial SSU rRNA
Rfam family: Bacterial small subunit ribosomal RNA
Source: RNAcentral
GAGUUUGAUCAUGGCUCAGAUUGAACGCUGGCGGCAUGCCUUACACAUGCAAGUCGAACGGCAGCACGGGAGCUUGCUCCUGGUGGCGAGUGGCGAACGGGUGAGUAAUGCAUCGGAACGUAUCCUGGAGUGGGGGAUAACGUAGCGAAAGUUACGCUAAUACCGCAUAUUCUGUGAGCAGGAAAGCGGGGGACCUUCGGGCCUCGCGCUCUUGGAGCGGCCGAUGUCGGAUUAGCUAGUUGGUGAGGUAAAGGCUCACCAAGGCGACGAUCCGUAGCAGGUCUGAGGGGAUGAUCUGCCACACUGGAACUGAGACACGGUCCAGACUCCUACGGGAGGCAGCAGUGGGAAUUUUGGACAAUGGGGGCAACCCUGAUCCAGCCAUGCCGCGUGAGUGAAGAAGGCCU